UUCAAAUAUGGGUUUGUUAAAAUCGUCUUUAAAAUUAGCAUCUUUUCCCAUUCCUAUCUCCUGCAGAUAUAAGGGAUUCUCCACCAUUGUUCCUGAACCUUCUCCUUGUGACCAACGAAACCCCCUUCGGGAAACUCAACUUCGUGAGAGUUCGGAUUCGACCAAGAACAGAGCCCCAUUGGAGAGCAACAGAAGCUUCUCGAACUCUUCAAUUACCGAGAUGAACUCGACGGCAGCAUCCUUGACCCAAACAGUUCUCAGGAACGAGAGCUGAUGCAAAAUGAUGUCAUCGUUGUCGUUGUAGUCCUCGACAGAGAGGGAAAAUAGGGUUCCGAAGUCUACGAUUCAGCAAAGGAGGACUUCGUGGCAAGAUGGUGUUCUUGGCACAAACUAUCAUAUUCCUGCAAAGUGGAAUUGGACUUACCAGUUUCAGGUGAAAGAUCAAAUUGAAAGCUUUUUCUACUUCUCUUCCCUUCAUCUUCAAAGAUGAAGGGGUUUCAUCAUAAACAACAAACUUGUCAUUCCGAUUCCUUUUGAUACUCCAUAUGGGGGACAUUGUUGUUUUCAUUGGAGUAGUGAGUUUCCAUUUUAUGUUUUGAAUUAUGGUAUUGGUUUUUCUUCCAAUGAGCCCUAUGUUGCACGAGUAUAGGGAUUGGGUGGUAUGUCCUAAUAUUGAAAUUGUUUUUUAUUCCUUUUGAAAGAAGAUUUUGAAUGGUGUUAAUGUCUUAUGCCCUAUUUGGAAAUUGGAAGCAUGUGACAAGUUAGUGAACUUUUAAAAUUAGUUUGAAUAGUAUGAAAGAAUAACUACUGUGAAUGUUGAGGCUGAGCUUGAAUAGCUCUGGACUGGAGGAAUUAUUAUUGGGUUUUGAAAACAUGUUAAAGCAAGCAAUUGGCAAAAUCUGCAAAACCGAUGUUUAUGCUUGUGAAGGAAACAAAGUUUUGCCUUGGAUUUAUGUGCCUUCGAGCUUUUUCCACCAUGGACAAGUAAAGUCUCCUAUUCUUCCAUUUAAAUCGCAAUUUCUAUUUUUUAUAUA
Glycine soja is the source of this 1034-nucleotide long non-coding RNA. RefSeq lists it as uncharacterized. Lineage: Eukaryota; Viridiplantae; Streptophyta; Magnoliopsida; Fabales; Fabaceae. The record is from RefSeq and is a predicted model, not a curated record. The transcript has 2 exons.